Molecule: ribosomal RNA, 253 nt
Filed under: uncultured bacterium
Lineage: Bacteria
Description: partial 16S ribosomal RNA
Rfam family: Bacterial small subunit ribosomal RNA
Source: RNAcentral
UACGGAGGGUGCAAGCGUUGUCCGGAUUUAUUGGGUUUAAAGGGUGCGUAGGUGGCCCGUUAAGUCCGGGGUGAAAGCCCACAGCUCAACUGUGGAACUGCCCUGGAUACUGGCGGGCUUGAGUCCAGACGAGGUUGGCGGAAUGGAAGCUGUAGCGGUGAAAUGCAUAGAUAGCUUCCAGAACCCCGAUUGCGUAGGCAGCUGACUAGGCUGGUACUGACACUGAGGCACGAAAGCGUGGGGAGCGAACAGG